ACCAUCGAGGACCUGCAGGACAAGAUUCCUGGUGCCACCGUUGAGAACUCCAAGGUAGUCCUGCAGAUCGACAAU
This is a microRNA precursor of Camelus ferus (Wild Bactrian camel), 75 nucleotides long. It matches the Rfam family "mir-492 microRNA precursor family". The record is from Rfam. Lineage: Eukaryota; Metazoa; Chordata; Mammalia; Artiodactyla; Camelidae.